GUUUUGUUUUAUUUUGUUUUACCUUUUUUUCAGUUUGGUUUCUGUUUUUUUUUUUUUUCCCUCUGCCCACAUUUGGAAAUAUCAAAACAAACCUGAGAAUGAGACUGUUCUGUUCUUGACUUUGUCAUGUGAUUAAUAAUCGGGAGAGAACUGAGUGGUUUUUUAUGGGUUACUGAUGAUGACUUUUCCCAUUGAAAUAUGUGUGCUGCAUUGAGCACUAUAUUUUUAAGCACCAGUACAGACCUCAAUGCAGUACAAAACAGAGAGAAAGACAGGAUCUUGCCUUUGAAGGUCAUGGUAUUAUAAGUAAGCAUUUUGUUCCCUGGAAGUACUACUGGUGGAAAAAUACUACAUGAAACCUAUACAAAGUUAAAGAGGAGGCAGUAACUCUCUAAGAAACACAAUCAUGAUUUUAUAUGACAACUGCUGACUUCAUUUUAUACCACCAUUGAGACAGACUUGAGAACAUUGUUUUUGUAAUGUGAAAGUAUAGCAAAGCAGAGGUCACAACAUUUUUUAGAAUUUUGAAAAGUCAUUAUUAUGUUUCAGCUUGUGAUAGGUACAUGACAAAAUAUAUAUAUAUAUAUAUAUAUAGUAGACCUAACUUGUGAACAAAACCUGGAAUAAAUAUUGCAAAUUUUUCAUGUUAGUUAUUAGUCUGAUGAGACAAUCAUGUUAUUUAUGGGAGGAGUAGUAAGAAAACUAGGUUCUGUAUAAAUGACUCCAGAAAACCACUUCCUAGUUGGCUCUGUGGCAUUAUUGACAUUAAAGUUAAUUACUGGAACAGCUGUAAACAAAAUUUUAGUGGCCUUUUGGCUUUGUUAAAGGAUUAGCUUUUCACUACAUUUAUUUGGAUAUGAGGAAACAUCUGUGAGAACUCUUUGUUCAAUCUAGUGUGGUGCAAUAUGCCAGUUAUGAAGAAUUUUGGAAACAUAAUUCUCCUUUUUAGUCUGAUGAGAUUACCUUUUAGAUAGUAGUGAUGACUGAUUUUAGAUUGAUGAGAUUAAUGCUUUCCAUAUUAUACUGUGGAAGGGAUUUUCUCCUACAUGUUGACUUGAGAACUUUUUUCCCACAAAAUAGAGCUUCUUCAUCUUUUCCAGGCUUUUUCUUCUUUGGCAUCACAGUGAUUAAUGAGUUUAAUUUUUGCAGGCAACUGCCAGGAGGUGCUGAGUAAGAUGUAUCAUGCUGAUUGUGUGUAACGCUGCUCCUUUUAAUUACUGGGAUGAUAACAAUGCAUUAAUCAGGUGCAUAAAAAAUUCAGUACUUUUCUGUAACACAGAAUAUUGAUCUAUUUUAUAAGGCACUGACUAUAAAACGAUGAUCACAGAAGUCCUUCUUAAAUUGAAUUUUGUAUGAUAAGUUGUCUUUUAAAAAUAUUGAACCCCCCACUGAAACAUCAUAAAACUCUUCUAUUUUAAGAGCCAUAUGCUGCAUUCUUACAGGUUCAUUACUUAGCCAAAACUCAUGUUGGUUUUAACAGGAGACUUAACCAUAUAAAGAAGCCAGUCCCAAAGUACAAAAGACCUCAUUUCUUUGAAUAUUCUUUCUACAACUGAAUUCUGAAUAUUUCUUUCUUUCCUGCAUUUGCUUAAAACUGUAUUUGGCCAUGAACUAUACUUUACUAGUCCUGCAGUUGAUUAUUCAGACUGAUUUAGCUUUUGAGAAGUUUUUCAUUCAGAUAUAAAUAGAGAUUAUUUUGAGAUGCUUCAGUAAAACUGUGUUUCCUGCUUGGAUAAGUUAAGGAUUUAGUAAAUCAAAUAUCCUUUGUUUACAGACUGAGUCUGAGAAAGUGAGAGUCAGAGCCAUUAGUGUAAAAAAAAUGUAAUUUAGUAUGUCAAACUUGCUGUUGCAUGUAAUUGAAAGUGUUAAUUUUCAGUUCAUUAUUUGUCUGAUGAGAAGAGAUAUUGCUUCCUAAAAAUGUGUGUCAAGGACAGUGUUUCAGUAAGGUUGAGGCCUGAGCUGUAGGCAACAGGCAUUUCAGAAGUGAAGUGCUUUUUUUCCUAGACACUUGAGUGAAUUGAUUGUAUAGAAGGGUUUCUAGGACUGUGGGAAUCAUGACUUUACUAUAAGAUAUAAUAAUUUGAAUUGUAACCAGAAGCCUAUCUACAAAUCUGAAUUGUUGUGCAUAUGGGCAGAAACUACGGUUUGAAUCUGUAAGAAUCUCCUCUUCUGCCUCUUCUAGGUGAGUUCUUGGGUGCUGAACUCAGUUAUCUUACAGUCAAUAAGAUGUGGAGAGCUGGGACUAGUUCUUUCAGUGGAAAUAGUUAGGCCCUGCUGACAUUCUGUAAGCUCGCCUUUUGAAAUAAAUAGAAAUUGCAGCCUACUUCCUUCAGAAAGAAUAGUUAUAAACCUUAUAAAAAUCAUGGGUUAUAUUUGCACAGAAGCCCAUCAUAUAUUCUGUCAUUACUGAAUACUGGACACUCUGACCUGCAGGUGAUAAACUUUUUAUACUUUGUUUUAUAGCUAUAUUUAUAAUUAAACUACCUUAUGAUAUUUGCUACGGGUUUAAAAUCAGUCUCUAUUUCUGCAGCCUUUACUAGCCAUGGUGAUGAUACAUGCACUAAAAAAUCUGCCAGAGAGAAUGUAUUUUUAAGUAUUCAAGAAUAACUGUGUGAAGGGGCUGAAUCAUCUCUCUAAUGGAAGUGAACUGUGCAAUAGGUUGGGAUACCUCAUGUAGAGUACUCAGCUCACAUUAUUUCUCUUUUGAGCAAGUAGCAGAAAGUGCAGAAAGAAGAGACUGGACCCAAGGUUGGAGCAGCUCAAGUUGGUUUCCAAGGGGUCUUUCAAAGAUAUGGGAAGUGUGAAAAAAAGUCUGUAUGUGCUGUUCUCCAUCCGUUUGUAUAUUUUUGUUUCAGAAAAGGCCAGACAGAAGACAGUUCUUAUGGUGUCUAUCACAGCUUUGAAAAUGCUCUUUGGGAGUCAGAAGAAUUUGUCCCUUGAAAUAAAAAACUUUACGUUAUUUUGGGUUUAUAUAUCUGUGCUCGUGGUGGUCCAGGAAAAUCUCCCAUUGUAGUUCAUUAGCUGCAAGGUGAUUUUGCUGGGAUUUUUGCCCGAUGUGCUGGAUGAUUCCCAGCACGUUGCUGUGAGGUACGAGCAUUUUCGUCCCGUGACCAAGGGGUGGCAGCGUGUCGUGAUCACACUGUUCCUAUGGAGUGCUUGGCUUUUCCUUGCUUUUACAGGAAAGCACCAACCACGCACUUGUUUACAUACUCAUACCUACACGUGAGGGUUUUACUCAAUUUCUUAUUGCUUUCUCUAGGUCUGAGGGAAAUGAUGACAGUUUUGCAACUUUCUUUUUCAUGUUCAGAGAGAAAUAUUUGUUUUCAAAGCUCGUAAAAAAUGGUUCGACAAUAGUUUUACAUGGCCCCAUAUUCAGGCAUGGGGGAAGGAGGGGAGGAACAAAUCUUUCUUCUAGGGAAUGUUUUUCUCUUAUCUCCCAAAAGAAAACAAAAAAGCCAGUGUUUUUGCAAAAGCCUCUUUCGCUCAUAGCAGGUUGUGAUAAAGUGUGGCUUUUUAAAGUACGCACAAAUAAUUUAGUUUUGUAAUGUCAAGGUUUUUGAGAAGAUUUGUGGUCAAAUUAAAAAAUACAUAUUGUAAUAUAUUUCCUAUUUAGAUGCAUAAAUAGUCAUUUUGGAUCAGGUUCUUACCCAUAUAUGCUCAUAUAACUCAUAUAGCUUUGAAAAUGUUAGUGUAUUCAUUAAAUUGUGGGUGUUUGGUACUGAUAAGACUCAGUGUGGGUGAGUUAACUGAGUUAAAACAUAUUUUGAGUUUGUGCAUUCAUGUAUAUGAAUAGAUCACUGUGCCAGUCUUUACUGCCAAUAUGAAACUACAAAAGGGAAUAAGAAUGGGCACUGGACACAUGUGUCUUGCAGCACAGAGCAAUGCAGAAGGGAACAGAGGGAGAGCGUGGUGGUACAAUCCAGUAAGAUGUUCUGAAGGAUGAAUGGGCCGGAGUUUUUGUGUAGUGGAAACACAAGUCCUUCCCAAAUUUUCCGCCUUAGAGUGUUUGGGGACCUUCGUUUCCCACAUUUGGCCAGAGUUUUAAUUAUGUCUCAUCUUUUAAGCACUUUAAUUUAGAGCUCUUUCAUAGUUUGUUUUGUUAAAAUAGCACUUGAAAGCCUUCCUAAAGAUUAGAGCAAAGAUUAAUGUCAUUUUUAAGCUUCAGAGAACUUGUAAUGUGGAGCUAGGGAGAGAGGUAGAGGGAGUCUGAUACUCAUUCACUUUGCAAGCAGUUAAGUUUAAGCAAAGGUAUCGAAGUGUGUGAGGUAAUGUGAAAAAGCCCAAUAUUGUGAUUCUCUGCUGGUGAAAACUUACCAGAUUUCCACUGAGCAUGUUUUUUUAAUUGCUUAUCACUUGCAUAGUGUAAAUUAUUUUCCUCUAAACAAGGUGCUUGUUAGUGGACUUCAGUUAUUGCACAGAUUCUUCCAUGAGUUGCUAUCCCUGUGCCUUUUAAAAGUGCACUUAUUAUUAUCUUCAGUUUGCAGGUGGAAAAUCAGAGGCAGAGUUGACACACAGACAGUUCAUCUCAGCUCUUUGGCAGUGAUGGUCUGCUGUGGCUCAGCCCUGUGAGCUGUUGCAAUUUCUGGCUCUGGGCCUCAGGGGCUUUACGACUAAAAAUCGUUCCAGUUACCACCAAGGAUAUUCUUACAGGUGUAAAACUAAUUGUGAAGUCUGGCACAUUUAAGUCUUUGCUGUGUCUAGCACUCAUUUCUGACAGUUUUCAUGUGACAUUUCAAAUGUCUGAUGUUUCCCUCUAGCUGUUCAAGGCUUUGGAGUUUGCUUUGAGCAAAAGGAGAUUUAAAGCAUCCAAAAGGAAGGAUAGGAGUAUCUUAAUGCUUUCAUUAUAAUAUUUUUGGGAGGGGUGGUUUGGAGCUUUUUAAGUUUCUUUUCUGUAUUUGUCAAUAGCAUCUGCUCCAGCAUUUCAAGCAGAUUUCACUCUAGGCAGACCUCAAAAGCAAAUGCAAAUUUCUCCCUAGGCUUGCUGUCUUGGAUGUACAGAGCUACAUGAAAUGGAAAAGCAGCAGUGGGAAAUACCUGGUAGCCUCAGCUCCAGUUGUACUGUAGUCAUUAAUUUUAAAGUGUUUAUGACAAAAGUAUGUAUGUGUUGCUUAUUGGCCAUUAAAAUGAGCUCCAACUCUGUAUAAAAGAAUGUAACUGUGGUAUUUUGGUCAGAGGAGAAAUGAAACCCAUGGAGACUGAGCAAUUACAGAUGUUACUUCAGUCUCCAAGCCCUUGGUCUGAAGACACUUGGUGAGCAGAACCAGCAGGAGGUUUACACAGAAUCCCUGUGCCUGCUGGUUUCCUCCUCUUCUGGCAGAGGCAGAGGGAGAAUUAAAUCCAGCAUCUAAGCAGCAGCAGGAGGUUUGUUACUGCCUGCUGUCCCUUCUCAAGGGUAUAAGCAGUGGUUGGCAGAACCCUAUGGAGUUUGUGUCUGUGAAGAUGAAUUCAAGUGUCCUGCAGUGCCUCUGGCUAAGGGGGACUAAAGAAGACUUUUAUUUGUAAGACCAGCCUUUGGCAAAAUAAAAAGUAUGAACUGCUUGCAAAACAGACAUUCAUGCUUGUACCAGGGCCACAGAAAAACAAUCUGGUGGCAGAUGCUGCUGCUGUCAGGUAGGGUGGUAUGGGACAUGGCUUGGGGGUGGAUGGCUCUUUCCACUUGCUCCAAAGACCUCUGAGUCCCUUAUGAGAAAUAGAGACAGCAAGCACAGCUCAUGUCUCCCUCUCUCCUUUUCCCCAGCCCUACCUCACAGGAGAAAAACCCUGGGUUUUUUUGCACUGCUGGGAAGCCAUGAGUCAGUUCUUCCUCCCUGUCUAACAGGUGGCUGCAGGCAACUUUGUCUCUCUGUGCCCUGGUGCCUAAAGAUGGAUCUCCCAGGAAGACCUCAGAUGGCUCCUCUCCAGCUGCUUCACAGUGACAUGCCCUCUGGCAUAGCAAAAUUCAGCUUCUGCCUGUCUCCCCUGCUCUCCUUCUAGGACAGGCAGAUUGGGUUAUCUUGUAUUCCAGAGGAACAAGGAGCCUUGAGCAGAGAGAAAAGAGUAUGCUUGGAUCUGCUUUUAAAUAGUGUUUGACCUCUUGCAUAAGAGUCUGAUUGUCCCAAGAUAAGUUUAUUGCAUACACAGCUCUGAGAUUUGCACAGAUUGCUCGUAGGAUUAUGUUUCAUGUGACUGUAGAAUCCUAUCUUUGUUUGUCAUUUAUUGCUAAAUCCCUCCUCAUGUCUCUGGGUAAUCUAUAUUAAAUAUGGUUUGUCUUUGAUUUUGUUUUUCCUAUUUCCUUUAGGUGUGAGAAAACAAAAGUAAUGUUUAAAAGACCAAACUUCUAUUACAUUGUUGAUAAGGAAGCUGUUGCCAUAGAGACAUAAAUGGUUUGUAGUGAACAGAAGAUUUUGACUUUUACUAGUCUUCCUUUAUUAAUACAGUUCCUCUGUCUGCUCUAUAUUGUUUUCUUUUUCUUUUCUCCUUUUUUUUUUUUUUUCAUGUGGGUGUUUGUAAUCCCAGAUACAAAAGGAGACACGUGGAGAAAACACUAAAGGUAUUAUAGUGCUUCACAAUGGUCUCUUUGAUAAAGUGGGUGCUGUUGAAGCAGCUCCUUUGUUCUAUUAUGAACUGCAGCACAAACAACACUUGUCAAAACACAUACAGUGAGUCAUUGCAAACAAGGGCAGUUAAUUAAGACUGACAUAGCCAAGAUUUAGGAUCACAGUAACCCCACCUAUUGUACUUGCCUUGUACUCUGUGCUUGAGUGUGGUGUGCUUGGAAGAGGCUUCUUCAAGGAGUGGGUAAUUCUCACUGAUUUCUGGGCACGUUUAUGUACCUUCUGUUUGAGGUGGCAUGGAUCUUUGGUAGAGUAUUGGAAUAACUAUUAGGGAAAUCUUGCUUGUCUGCCAGUGACUUGCUGCAUGACCUUCCACUAGUUAUUUAUCCCUGCAGGGGCAGGACCUGCAUCUCUUAGAUACCAUGAAGGAAUCAAGGCCAUGACUUCAUUUGUGGCUUCACUGUGGUAGUCCAGAAUUAAAUAAUUUCUGCUUCUGGCCUAAAGCUUUGGGCUAAAAAGAACCCAUAGAAACAUGAGAUUAUUAAUAAUUAGUAGUGCAGUCAUUAAUUCUGACAUUGGAAACAUUUGUGGGAGCAUUGCUAAUAACCAAAACAGGCUUGAUUGUGCUUGUUUAUGGUGGGCUAAAGGUCUCCCUCAUUACAAUGUUUCUCAGGCAGUGCCAGGAACUGAUAAUCACUAUAAUGUACAUUUUUUCUUUUAGCUAAGAAAAGCUAAUAAGCAUCUGUAGUUUUGAAAAUGUCAGAUUGAGCCAAAGUGCAUGCAAUUAGAUAAGGAUAAUGUAGCAGAUAAUAAGAAGAUACAUGAUGCUGGAUAAGCAGUUAUCAGACUGUUGUGCUUUGGCUGCUAAAGUGCUACAUGUCAUAUAAAAGAAAGUGGUUGUUGGUUGAGGGAAGACAUGCCAGAAGUUGUCAGAAAUGGAAAUGCAAGCUAAUGUGGUAAAGUGACAAGGUUAGUCCUGGGGGACUAUAAACAUGGAUGUCAGGCUUUUGAUAAAUGGAAGGGUUGUCUGGGUUAAAAGUCAUGUAUUUGGGAGGUGUGAAAGGCCACUGAGGAAAAAAAAGGAAGCAAAUAUGGAAAGGAAGAUGAGUAGAUGGGAGUAAUUUGUGGUUCCUGUCUCUAAGGUUUCUUUUUACCUUGUGUGUGAUGUCUGGACUGUUCUGGCUACUUUAGUGUGCUAAAACCUUUCUGAGACAACUUCUUUGCCCAAAAGGAGUUACAGCCAUGAUGAACUGAUUAAGCGAAUUUUCAGUGAGUGUCCUCAGUUUAAUUUGCCCCUGGGGAAAAGAAUUGAGGCACACUCUGAAAGCAAGAGAAAAAACAAGAGGAUGAAAACCAGACAAGGGACAAGGAAGGGAAAGAAGAAAGAGGAAAGCUGUGGUGCACAGAACUGGAUGCCAGCUUUGAUACUGGAAGACAAGGAGUUUUGCUUCUAAAAUAUUUUUUGCUAUAGGGCAAAAUAUGUCUUUUGGCUGAGACAGAAUAUUCCAUAUUUUCCUUUUCUUCCUACUUAGCCUAACGCAGGAGCUGGUUCUGGGCAGGAGGGCAGAUUCUUCAUAAUCUGGAAGAACAGGUUUUCUUGUGUAAUUUUUUUUUUUUCUGGAAUGUCUCCUCCAGCCUUUAUCCCACCUCUUGUGAAGUGUUCUGGUGUCUUCAGAGGGAAGAGAUUGGAAGCCAUUUCUCCUGUGUUUUGGUUCUGUGAUAACUUUUACCAAUUUUUUUUCACUCUUUAGAAAGCACCAAGUAUUUAAUAUCUUUAUAAAAUACCUAACAGAAAAGCUGUAUAGUUCUCAUCCUCUCCUUUUCUGUAACAUCUUUAAGAAGAUAUUCUAUACAUACUUAAGUAGUGACCAGCUAUGUAGUGUUACAGCUGCAGUCCUAGAAAAAUAAUAUUAUUAUCCUUAUGGAAUGUUUGAAUUGUGGAUAACAAAUUCAAGGUACAUUUUUCCACUUACAAAACAUUGUCCCUUUCCAUUUCUGUUUACAGCAGAAUAUAUCUUUUCUUUGGUGUAUCUUCAGCCCAGAUUAAAUGUGUUUGUAUUAGAGGGUUAUAUAGAAUGUGUGUGUUUCAUGCAGGUGUUUGGAGUAGUCUCAAGGAGAAUCAUAGAUUCACAGGAUGGUUUGGGUUGGAAAAGACCUUAAAGAUCAUCUUUCCCAUGGGCAGGGACACCUUCACUGUCUGUGAGCAUUUGAACUCAGGCAGGGGUUUAAAAUUCUCUUCCUAUGAAUGUUCAGGGAAGGUAGCAGCACAUUCACAGGAUGUAAAUGCAGAGCAUGUAUAAACAUGGCCAAAAGGGUGCUUGUGGUGUUGUUGCCUUUUUUUGUUUUUAUAAUUCAGUCAAUAGAAAGUUAUAUGCUUUUCAGUAAGCUGUUCUUCUCCAGGCAUUGGACAAACUUGAUAUUAGAGGAGAGGAAAAAGAGAGGAAAUCCACUGUCUUCUCUAUAUUGGGUCAUGAGGGAAUAUUUCCUUUCUCUCAGAGACACAAGGGUGAUGAUAACAACUACACAUAUCUGUGGGGGCUCUCUUCUCUUUGGAUGAGUUAGAAAGAAGCACCUCAUGGCACUGGACAGAGAAGGUGAAGGUGAAGAACAAGGUUAAAGCCCGUUUAAUCCCACUUUGUAAAUCUGCAUAUGAAAUCCCUCAAAUUAUAACCAUAUUCCCUCACUGUUUCUUCCUGUCUGUGCUAAGCUGAAGCUCUUCUGGGAAUGGGCUUUUGGCAGAUAGCACAUCUCUAUUGGGCUGGAAAGAUAUGUGAGAAUGCCACAGUCAGCUUUUUAACUGUGCAAUUUAGUAUAAAAUGUAGGGAGCAGCAGUGUGAAUCAGAGGAUUGAAUUUGCUCUAAAAGUUCCACAAAAGGCUCCUCUUUUUCUAAAGACAGAUUGUGCCAGUCCAACCUGAAAAACUAUAAUUUAAUUUGAAAGCACCGUUCUGCAUUCCUUUCACCUGAUCUCGAUUGGUGACAAGCCAUAAAAUUUCUCUGUGGUCCACUGGAGUUCAGUAGAUGAGAAUUUCCUAACUUCAUAAAAUGAUUAAAAGCACUCCAAAUGUGUACUAUUAGCAAGGUUUCUUUGAGACAACUCAAUCAGCAGGCUUCAGGGGCCUUUGUGAAGGGUUUGGGGAGCAUUGCUUGAAUGGCAGCUCUCUGGGAUAGGUAAUAACUGAGGGAAAGACUGCAAGGCUUUAUGCUUACACUAAAAGAAAAAAUGGUAGUGCAUUUGUCUGACAGUGUUUUUUCCUGUUUGCCACAAUGCCAUGAUAAAUUGUGCAAGGAUCAAUGUCUCUAGCAGGGAUAAGCGAUAUCUGUGUGGCUGAUUUUGGCAGCAGCCCACUCCUGUGUUUUUCUUUAACCCAGUGCCUUGGACAGCACUGGAAAGCAGAAAGAAGUAGAUUGGUUUUAUGUGUACUGCCUGUAUCUCAUCUAGAAAACUCAUCUUCCUCCAGCAUGUUGGAUCAUAAACCAAAAACUGAAUCCACUUUCAUCAAAUGUUUGGAAGUAAUGAACUAUUCAGGACCGUUUUGUUCUGUUCAAGGCAUUUCUACAAACAGAAGAGGGAUGAUUUAUCGACUCAUUCCAAAAUACAUGCUGGGCAUUAGGGACUGCCCUUCCUCUCUCCCUCUCCCCCCUUUCACACCGGUUGGCUGUGACUUGCCAAGCAAACAAGAAAACGUGACUAUUUUAUUUUUCUAUUCCAUUUGUUUUCAUGAAUGCCAAGCAGAGACUUGUUAAGGGGUGAAUGGGCAGCCAGAUAUUUGGAAACUGAGCCUUUUAACAUCAGUUAAGGUGCCCCAAAUUUCUAAGAUCAGAUGAAGAAAUCUGAUGGCUGCUUUUAGUCAAAUGGGUUAUUUGAGAGAUUCUUGAUACUGCUAAGCUUUCUGAUGAAAACUUAGAAUAUAUGUAACAGUGCUUAUUUCUUUUUUCUUCCUCUGGAGCUCAGAACACUCCAGCAAGGUACAGCACCAAAAUCUGUUCUUUACAUCACAGUGAUGUAAUCUUUAGACUUUCCAAAUGUAAAUUCGUGUGCUGACUAAAAGGCAAAGAGGCUUUUCAUACUUAAUGGGUCUUAUCUCUUAUCAAAGCUGGAGAUUAGAAUUUUCUAUGAUUUCGCUCUCCCUUUUGCUGAUAAUGGUGGAAAUGGAGAAUCUAUCCAUUCUCAGGAUAUCUAUCUAGCAGAAAGUUUCAUUGUCAGACCCAGGCAUUUCCAGCAUUUUUUUUUUGAUAACUUCAAUAAUCACUGCUUCUCAUUUAUUCAGGUCAAUGGACCCUUCUCGGGGGACUGUGAAGUUUUUUAAGGUGAAAGAUAUUGUUGGAAUAAGAAUUGAUGGCUGUAAUCUGGUCAUAAAUUGUUUUAGGCAGGAAAUAAUAAGAGUUUUAAGAUCUUGAGCAUUGAAGUAUUGAAAUAGUCUUCCAGAAAGAGCAGGCAAAGAUAAAAGUUAUAUCUAGCUUUAAGACAGAUCUCAGAUACCCUACUUUUCUGGGAUUAUAUACCUGCCCUUGAAAGCAAAGAAAACACAGGGUCCACUUUUACAACUAAAUCUAUUGAAAUUUUGUGUGAACUCAUGAAGAGGUCUCUGCCUCCAGCUAGGUAACAGAAACCUAAGUUUUAGCAGUUUCAUGCAGGCUAAAUAUCUUUUCAAAGAAUCUGCUGAAGAGGUAAACAUUAUUGCAUUCAGUGUUUGUAAAAAAACCCCAAAAUAGUCAUAGUCAAACAGGUUAUACGGGGCUGAAUCCAGUCUUUGCUCAUAUUUUUAAGAUAGUUCUGUCAGGUUUAUUCAGGAGUCCCUUGAUUUUGCUGCAUUUUAAACAAACUGUGUCAGAUGUAUAUGAUAUUUCUCUGAGCAUUUCUAGCUACCGCCCUGUAGGCGAAACACUUUUCCAUUUCAAGAGGCAAGAUUUUAAGAGGUCUGUCACUAGGAGGGCAGUAGCAUCUAUAGACAUUUAUGUUGCAAAUGGUCUGUGUGGGGAAAUCCAAUUCAGAGCAGUUCUUUUUCCCUUAUUGUUGUAGAAUUGUAUGUUCUUUUUUUUUUUUUUUUUGCCAAAGUGCUUUAGUGUUUUCUGCAUGAGUCCCAGAAUCUUUUACAGACAGUACCUUUGCCUAUCUCCAUAACAAAGACAGAUUGCAGAAGGAAAGCCUAUGGAUGAGAAGCUCUUGGAAGAAUAUCAGACAGUUUGUUUUCUGUUAUAGGACCACUAAAGUGUAUGAAAAAUUACGUGAGUUGCAGAUUUUGGUAUCUAAAGAGAAUUUAGUAUCUCAAUACAUUCAAAUGAUUGAGAACACUGGCUGAGUUUUAACAGCCUUACUGGAUAUUUUCCUUUUUUAAUACAAAUGAUCCCUAGGCCACAAGAGCAGUGCUGUUCAUAUGAUAGAACUGCCCAGCUGUAACCACCCAAGUUCAUCAAAUCCUCUCUUGUGACUCAGAAACAGGCAGAGCAAGAGUUCACUUCAUCUAGGAACACACCUGGUGCCCUUCAAUGACUCACUGCACUGUGGGGGUUCAUUGUGGGUUUAACAUGAUUUGAAAGGGUUGAAUAAUAAAACACAAAUUGUUUUAGAAACUCUACCUGGAGGAGCAAAACUGCCCAUUGCUACGUGGCAUUUGUCUAGUGAGAAGUCCGGGUUUAGUUCUCUGCCUUUUUCCAAACCCCAUCUCUCAUCAUGAGGUCUUGGCUGCUGCUGCAGACCCAGGAGGCAUCUCCUCUCUCUUGUCUUUUCUGAACACAGGAGACACAGGUGAGUGUAAAAAUUACCCAAGAAAGGUUACCACAGGCAAUAAAAGGCAAUUCCUGUUAGCUUCUGCCCCUCAGUACCCCAAUGCUGAUUUUUCAAGCUCCCGGUGACUCAGGAUGUUGACAGUGUAGGAGUGGCAGUGCCUGGAUUGUGAGCAGCUGUGUCCUUUACUGUGUCUGGCCCUGAGCACUUUUGAGAACUUGACCUAUGGCACAGACUUGUUUAAUGGAGAUACUUCUUCAAAUCAAGCGAUGAGAGGCAUAUGUGUGAAGGUGUUCAACGUAGCAAGACUGCUCUAAGGCAGCAAAUUUUUUAUCAAUGAUUCCAGCACUGGCAGAGGAGAAGGGCCCUCUCCCUUUUUGAGCAGUGCAGGAGGGGAACAACAGACGUGGUGCUUUCUGAAAUGGGUGCUGAGGCAGAGUGGUGAUGGUGGUGCUAUAUCAGUGCAGUCAGAGGCAGAGGAUGAAGAUGACAGCUUCUCACAAGUGUAAAGAAGUGGUUUGGGUGUUCAAAACAGCCAAAAAUAAUCUCCAGGUAUUUCAUUCCAGCAGCAGAGGGAAAGCAUGCUGCAUGUGAGUAGUAAGUCACACAACAUCGUGGCUAGGGCAUGUGACUGGAAGUUAGAAAGCUGUUCUUGUAUGGCAUUUAAUUUUUCAGAGACAUUUAAAUCCCUGUGUUGUAUUGGGCAGAUUUUUCCAGAAGAUUUUGGUUAUGCAAUAAAAGCCAUCUGAUAUUGUUUCUACAGUGCUGUUAAGAUGAAGUGUUCUUAUUAUAUCCCAUAAUCUUACUUGAGCUUUCUGUUCUUGAUGGUUUUUCUAAGCCCUGGGCCAAAGGCAUUGUGAUAGAAAUUAUUCACCCAACAAAAUGUCCAAACUGUGAAGCACUAAAACUCUUUUCCUUUUUUUUUCCUACUUCUCAAGGCAGCAAAGAUCAAGCAGUACAGCUUAUAUUGCUUGAAAGUGAUAAUAUGUGUUGAAGACUCAGGAUUUUUAUGGUUAUUUGAGCUGGAUUUUCACAUGCCACCAAACACACAGUCGAUCUAAAUCAGUGCCUCCCCAGGGCCAUGUCUGCCCAAGGGAUGCACGUCCCUCAUGCCAAAGCUCAGUGCAGGGCUCAGUGUGAUGCUCUUGUGGAAGAGCUGUGGGUACCACAAACACUGUGUUACGCCAGUGCAGUGCCAGUUUUCAGCUGCUGCUCAUUCAUAUUAGUCAGAACUAAUUUAUCUACUGAUUACUCACACUGCUGUAAACCUUCAGUUGCUGAUAGAAGUUGUUCAGGCCUCUUUAAAUACCUCUAUGUGGUAUUACAAUGUACAUAUUACAAUAUACAAUAUUACAGUAUACGGUACCCAUCACUAUGUCGGGUACUCCAAACAUACCAACAGUGCUGGACUUAAACUUGCCAGUGAAUCCCUCAUUACUCAGGUUUCCUUGUGUGCCUUUUGUUAGUCUUUAAUUAAAUGGUUGCGUGUCACUGUGGUUGUGUUUGUUGUUUUGCACAGGACCCCUCUUCCCAUGCUCACAGUGGUUUAAUGAAAAGCUCUUCAACAUUUCAUUUUCCACUCAUUGUUUAAUGUAUGGCCUUAGGCCUUAGUCUGCACUCUCUUCAGAUCCUGUUUAAUUUUCUCUUGGGCUCUUCUCUAGCAUUUACUGCCACAAUAUUUGAAUGCAUCUCAAAAACUAGUGAAUUUGUUUUCAUGGGACAGCUGCUGAGCAUGAGGAGGGGUUUAUUCCCCCAAGCUGAGGAACAGUUCUUAAUGUAACCUGAAUACCUUGAUGCAGAGACAAUUUUUAUGAGAGUCUAAAACACAGAUCUGUGACCUCGGUGACAGUGCUGAUCCUCAGCAUUUCUCAAACAGUAUCGGAAGUCCCAGAGGUGAACAUUUGUGAAGUAAGUAACACUGUAGUGCUCACUUAGCAAAAUUCAGCUAAAAUGUUUUGCCCAGCAUCACAGAAUCUGGUUGUAUGAGAGACAGGGAAAUCAUCUGUGUCUUCAGCAUGUCUUGCUUAGUCAUGAAACUGUCCUUCCUCCAUUUUUCCAGCUCAGUGCUUCAUUUGCUGCAUGCUGCUGUUUUUCAGUCAUGCAUGUCACCAUGGGCCCUGCUAAUUCCCUCAUGAGGCCUUUGCACUAGAAAUCCCUGUGUGCUCAAGGACAAGGCUAAAUUAAGGUUAGUUCUAUAUAGACCCCCAAUAUUAUGCUGUACUUAGUGUUAAAGCAAGACUUGUAGGGAGAUGUAAUAUCUUUUAUUAGGGCAACUGGUCUUGUGGGUAGACAAACUUUCAAGUGCAUGAGCCCUUCAGAUUCCUCUUACAUCAGCUGACUUCCUCCUACAAACCACAUCUCUUUUAUGUCCUCAGAUCACUGAGUCUACAGAAGCAGCCCCGUCUUGGAAAAGUGAGCAGGAAAACAAGAGGUGGCAUAACAUGGCAGCAAAUGGAGUCCCCAGUUAUUCAUCAGUAGAUUAAAUGUAGGAGGGUGUGACUGUUAACAGAGUAACUGAGAAUAAUGUUGUUCUCAUGAUCUCUAAGAAUCUGAUAUUGUGGGGAAAUAGGGCCAUCUCUGCAGUGUCACAGCUGUCAAGACACUGGAAAUAUGUAAAGAUUUGGGAAUGCUGAAUUCUUUUCCGAUAGCAAAGGGCAUAUUUUGGUAAUUUCCACCUGAUUCAUUAGAAAAUCACAUCAACAGCUCUGACACAUUUCCACUAUCUGUUCCCCUUUUGUAGGCAUCUGACUAUCUUUUGUAACAUGCAUUAACAAUAAAUUAUUUUAGUAGAACUUACCUUUCUGUUGGUAUUCAUACAGUUCCUGACACACAAGGGAUGUGAUUUGUGCUGGAGUAAUUAGGUAAACUUAACUGAGCUGUUUUAUAAAUGAACUGAUUUUUUUCUAACCUCUCCAAUUUCAGUUUACAUGAAACUGGCAAGGUUGUCUUGACGUUAGGGACAGUUCUGACAAUGGCAAUUUAAUUUAGGCUAAAUUAAAACAGAAGAAGGGAGUUGUAGCAAUCUCUCCAGAUGGGUGAAAUCACCUUUCAGAAAGUCUCCUAAUCACUAAGACAUAGGAUUUUAUAGGGCUGCCUUGUCUUACCACCUUACAGAAAUAAUUAGACAGUCGUAGGAGCAAAGUUUAAACCCAGGUGUUUGAUUUCUUGAGAGAGUGUUUUACACUCCAUGAUAGAGAAUUCUCUGGCCUAUGUAAUCAUUUAAGUAUUCCAUGCAAAUCAGCUCACAUGGAAAAGAGUGACAGUAUCCUCUCCAAGCAUAUUUCCAAAAUCUUUAGUCUGGGAUACACAAGGAUGAAUUUCCAGGAGGUCCAGCAGUGGACCAAAACCAACUAAGCUGAAAGAAAAAAACAAAACCAAAGUGCAAUUAUUUUUUCAUGUUCUAUCUUGUUCUCAUGCAUGUUCUUCUGAAAUGUUGUAUUUUUCUAGUUGUUACUUCGCCGUGUUUAUCUCUACUGAAGCUAUUCAAGAGCUGUUUAUCUUCUUGUAUCUUCAGUGUUUUUAUUCCUGAGAAAGUAUAGUUGAAACUUGUCUCUUGUUCAUCUUCCUGCUCUGUGGGAUGCCACAUCUGAGUUAAGUUUAGGCAGAACUUCAGACCUGAUGUAACAUUCUUAGAGGAUUUUCCAAUUUUUAAAAAGACAGAGCAUCCUUAGGGUUUUAUAACAUUUCCUGGAUGAGUCAAUAGGAAGAAAUGUUCAUCAUUGGUUAAUGGAAAACAGGAGUCCUCCUGCUAAGAGAGAAAUGCAGCACCACAGGAUUUUUUAUUUUAUUGCUUUAUAUUGCAAAAGAUAUGCUUCCAAAUUCUCUGAGGCUGGAGAAACUUCAGGUACCUGGAAAAUAGAAAUAUUCCUUGUCUUCAGUGGUUCAAAAGACUAAAUUUGAAAGGGAAUAUAAAAAGAAACAAAUAGAGGUUUAUGAAUGAAUGCAGAAGAAAUUAUUUGUGUGUGUGCUCUGAGGACAUAAGUGAGAGAGGUUUGCACAGAAUUGGCCACAAAGAGGAAAACAAGCUAAAGUGUGGUCUGUUUGCAAGAAAACUUAGUAAGGGUGAUAUUCCUGAGACUGUUAAGAAUUCUUUCUGUAAGGAAAGUUCAGUUUCAGUUUGUGGCCCAUAAAUAUUUAGUAGUUUGCAUUCAAGAGCAAUAAAAUAUGAAUUUAAAAUAAAAAAAAUGGUAUUUGGUGCUAUGUCCUAUGCUAAAAGGAAUAGUUCUGAACUAUUUGGAGAAAUAGGGUAGAUCUGUUCAGUGUUUUCUGUAAUUAUGUUCAGUUCAUCUGAUCCUCUGGUCACAAGAUUCUGCUGCACUGGAACUGUGGUUUUAGGUGUGAGUACUAAAUAAGUAAAGAACUUGUAGUCCUGAGAGCACCAGACAAUAUUCAAUAUUCCCAAAUCACCCUGAGCUCCUGUGUUGGAAAGAAUUUGCUGCAUUGCUGGAAAGGUGCUGGCAUAUUUAAUGCAAGCAAGGGCAGCUUGCACACCUGAUGUAUGCAAUGAACUUGUACCCACCUGGUAAAGCAGAAAUCACAGAGUUUAGGCACAUGAGCUGUUAAGUAGCAGCUCUCAGGCAGUAAGGGCCCAGUGAAGGCUAAACUAAUCCAAAUUACCUUGUGUUUGCCAUGGGCUAAGAGUAUGCACAAAGAAGGUUAUUGCACAUCAGCUGCCAAGUGAUGGUUUUAUUGCUUGCUGUAUCUUGCCUGUUUGCACCUGAGCCCCAAGGAACAAUCUGUCCUUUGGAGACAGCCUGUUUGUGCCUCUCCCAUUGGAGUCUUGAUCUGUGAGGGGCACUAUGACAAUACAGUGAUGGACUGGUGAGUGUGGAUGAGAGCAAUCUGCUGUGCUGCCUCCAAUCUUAGACUAAACUUGUGAUCUUCACUUGAAUUUUUAGUGCAUAAAGUAUCCUAGCUACCCUAGCUAUCUCAUUCUGAGCUUCCAAACUAUUGAUGAAAUAUUGGUUUAGUAUUCCGUACCUAAUAAUGUGUAUUUCUCUUCUUCCCUGAGACUGGUGGGAGCCUCUCAUCUCCUCUGCAGAUAACCAGCUUGAACUCUCUCUACCCCUUCCCCCAGAAAAUGUCUGGGUACCCAUGUGCUGGUUAUAUCUGCAAGAUCUCUCCUUCACCCUAAACUCAUAAGGAUACUGGUGUGUCAUGUCAGUCUAGACUGGACUGCAGUAAGUUAAGAAGUGGUGCACUUAAUACAGAUGUGUUUGGCUACUCUAGAAGGUUAAAUUAAUUGCAAUCAUCUAAUCUGUUGUGGUCCUUCUGGUAGCUCACAGGUCAGAUGUUGUACAUGGAACACAUUUGUCAUCCAUCCAUCCAUCCAUCCAUCCAUCCAUCCAUCCAUCCAUCCAUCCAUCCAUCCAUCCAUCUCUUUUAGCCUAGAGAAGACCAUAGGAAGGUUCUUGCUCAGGAAAAGUUGUGCACCCUUUGCUUAUGGAAUAAGGGGAGCUGCUGUUGCCAGGGCUGUGUGGCAGAUGCUGAUGGAGCCAGAGCUCCAUCCAGACAUUAUGCAACAAUGCAGGGAGUGUUGGUGCUGGUUGUGGCUGGAAUGCAUCUUCAAAACUGCAAAGUUCUACAUGAGAUUGAAUUGUUCUGGAGUUGUCUGACUGACACCUUCCUUCUGCAGGUCAUGAGCUUCCAUGAGUUAUGCCAGCUCUGAGCUGAGGAACUGUUGAUAGAGUGUAAUCAUGUUCUGAGCAUGCCAUGGUGACAGAGAAUCCAUCAAGGUGUUUAAGUCAUGCAGUCAUUAAUGACUUUGCUAUGCACCUCAUUUUUCACCUGGCUUUGCCUGAAUUUGUCUGGCUUCAGAUUUCAAGCACUGAUCUCUGCUGGGAGGCUGAAAACCUUUCUAUCAUUCUAUAUAUUUGGUAGGGGAAGAAACUUGUGUGCUAUUCAUGUGGGUUUGUGCUAACAUCACUUCCUUUUUUUAACUUCUUUUCCUACAUAUAACAUUGAAUGUCAGAAAAAACCUCCUUGAUUUGCUCCUGCAAAGGUUUGGAAAAGAAUUGCUUCAACUGUGGAGGUAGAGCUGCAACUCCUGUAGGUGUAGACAUGUCUACUAAAAGGUUAUUUUGACUGGGUGCCAUUAGGAGUUUAGUCCUGGCAGCACAACUCUCACUGUGGGCUCCUUGUGGCUGCCAGAGACAAGAAGUUUGUGUUUGCAUGGCCGACCUUGCUGAACUUGCUGCUGGGACUUAACUGCUCCAGGGAUCUGAACUUGCUAAAACAAAACAAGUGUGGGCUGCAGUCUCCUAUCACUGGGUAUGAAGAUAUACUGCGUUUCUUAAUUUAUUUCUCCCUGAUCCAUAUCUCUUGUCAUGAAAUUCAAAUUACUUCUUACCACUUAGGAGUCAGCAAAUUGCCUGUUUAUUGUCCAUGAGACUGAUCAGAAUGGAAAUUCUGUGGAAUGAUAUUGCAGAAUUUUGAGUAAACAAGCUCACUUUUAGUAGUGUUUGUCUGUCAUAUUUUUAACAGAAUACGAAGAUUUAGAAUGUGCUGCUCUUUACUGAUAAAACAUAUUACAAAUAAUAAGAAUAAUUAACUUGAACAUGGGAGUUUGGUUAUGGGAAAGAACUGAGCUCUGCAGGGCUUUGGCAUUUGAAUAUCUCUGUGGAACUGGCCUAGAAUCUUGCACCUGGACCACAUAAACGAUGGAUUCAUGGCUUCUGCAUGCAGACACCAAAUGAAAUUCAGGAUAAAAGAAAGAAAAUGGAGGAGAAGAAUUUCUCUUACCCGAAAUAUACUGUAUGUGUGUGAUGAAACACAACAGCCUAUUGAGAGAAACAGCAGAAAUAAAAAUACAAUAAUGGUAGAAAAAGGACCAAGAGAAUAUUCUUGGAAUAUGUGCAGAAAAAAUUUUGACAGGAACCACUACUGAUGCAGAAAGAGAUAUUAAUUCCUCCUUCCUGUUGAGGGGGUAAUAGGGUAGAUAGUAAAAUAACCUGGAUAACUUUGGGUGUGGUGAAAUUGAAAUUCAAACUGCUGGAAAAGCUGAUUUGAAGAGAUCUGGUGCUUCAGCAGAUACAUUUCUAAGUCCUCAACACUGCAGGUAAUGCUGGUUUUCCUGGUGUACUUAGGUCUGAUUUUUAAACAGGCAUUUCACAGAAUGACCCUAAUGUUACUCCACCAGGAAAAAAUGUUUUUUUCAGCUGAAGUUCUUAACACAGCUGAAGUGAUGAGCAGAGAGAUGAGACCAAGAAGGUUAUCUCCCAUCCUUCCAGAAUGGGCUUUGCUGCAUAAUAAUACAUUCUUCUGUUUGUCCAGUUUGACUUUAAAUUAUUCAAACUAUGGGCAUCCCUGAAGUAACCUGUUUCAUAACUUGAAUCUCAAUGAGCCCCUCAUUUCACAGAACAAACCCUGCUGAAUGCCUCUGGGAGCUGCAUGUGCUGAUUUGGGAUGGGAUAUGGGCCAUGGAAUAUAAAUUGUUCAUGGCCAGCCGCAGGGCUUGAGAAUGACACUGUGAUCUAAGCUGUGGAUCUCAGCUUAGAACAAACCAGCUGGCCAUGUGUGCACUAAUCUCUCUCUGUAGACGUUUUGAAGUGCCAUCCUGUGAGGGCCAUGGUGGGUAUUGGUUUCAGUGGAGCCUGGGUUAUAGCUGCUGUAUUGAGACACCACUAAUGGGAUGACAUGUGAUCUGUGAUUUGGCAUUACUUUGCCAUUACUCUCAACUGCCAGUUUCCAGAUCAAUGUAGAGAGUAGUGAACCCCUUCCUUUUAAGAAACAAAGUCAAUGGAAAUCCCCCAAAAAGCAUUGGACAGAACAUUGAUCAACUGUUGGUAGCAGGUAAGCAGGGCUUGUUUUUCAGCUUUAGCUGUGCAUGCCUGUUUUGCCAUUUGGAACAGUCCUGCACAGCUUUCUUUCCCUCCUGGGAGUGAACAUCAUACUUUUCUGCUCCCAUGUUGCUGCUGGGAAGGUGCACAGGAUAUGGAGGCACUUGAAAGAUUCCCAUCAUGGUUCCUGUUGCAUCACAGGAGCAGGUAGUGUGUCAUCUGGCAGGUCAUGCAUGAGCCAUUCUGUGUUAUGUGUCACAAACAUGUAGACUGAAAGGAGCAUUCAGAGCAAAGCACAGUCUAACUCCUCUAUUGCUGCUGCCUCCCAGGCUCUUCCUGGCACAGCACAGCAGGAGAAAACAUGAGCUGAGCAGUGCACUGCCAUGGAGAAAUGGAGCAGGUGUUAAGGUUCUGAAAGAAAGCUGGAGUCACCAAAUAAAUUCUGGUACUAAAACAUAAAAGAAUGCAUACUGGAUCACACAAAAGUGUUCAGGUGAGAAUCGUGUAAAAUUCACAACUUUCAAGCUGCUAUAGAAUUUCUCCAAAUUUCCAGGAAAAUAGGUGAAGAUAAAAGAGAGGGAAGACAAACUGAGAAAGCCUGCUCUUGGCUUUGCUGUGCAUACCUACAAUCUUUCACAGGAAUAUAAGCAGGACUUGCUUCAGAACAGCUGCUUCAGGAUUGUUGAUAUACAUCUGUCUUGCUCCACCAUCAGCUCUGUGAGGCAACUUGUUCCCCUUUUGCUCCAGAGUUCCUUCGAGUUUCUUGAACUUUCAAACUCUAUUUCCUCCACUUACAUCAGGAAAAAAAAUAUGAUUGUGAGGAAGAAAGCUAUGAUGUGAAAAGCUGAAAGAGAUUCCAACUCAUUUUGUUUCUGUGAAGAUCUGAAGUGCAUUUCCUCCUCAUCGGUUAUAUGACUCUCCAUCCCACAUCACUUACUUUUCAAUUAAUAAUUUUUUUCCAAAUCCAUGCUCUUUGGGGGACAGAUUUUUAUUACUUCAGGAAUCCUCUGCUUCUUUUUACAGCUGUUCAGAUUAUUUUACAUAAAUCCUUUGUGAAUUAUGAAAACUUCUAGCUACUACAGCAAGAACCAGUAUUCCCCAGAGAAUUGUUUUAUCCCUUGCCUACAGGCCUGAUGCUGACCCCUAGGAAUCAGUAAGGAAUUUUGCCAGUAAUGCCAUGGAGACGGAUCCCAGCCACAUGGGUAGAGCCUGCGGUGUUUUUGCAGAUGAAGGCAAGGCAGUGCCUGAGCUGUUGUCCUGGUAGGAAUUUCUUCCUUUAGGAGUCACUCAAAGCCAUUGACCCAUGUGAGGCCAUAACUGGUAGAACAAGAUCAACCUCUGUGAAGCCUGUCCCCCUUCAGUGUGCCCUUGCAGGAUGCCUCUUUCUCACUUUUCCCAUCUGCUAUUGCUCCAAAGGGACAUUUGCACUUCCCGUAUCUCUUCCAAACCCCACUGUAGCAGCAAAAUGGUUAAGUAACUGCCCCUUUUUAGGUAACGCUACUGAUAAAAAGUACCUUCUGGUCUUGUUUUAGCUUCAUGCCAAGGCACACUGAUAGCUGCUGGUGGUGUGCCUUCUUCAAAGGAUGGCUGCCAUCCUUGCUUACUUCUCUGCAGAGAGCAAAGAGCCUUUGAAAGUGCCUUCUGCCUCAUCGGAGUAAUGAGCGCUUAAAAAACCCCCACACCAACCCGAGAGUUGGCUCAGUUGUUCAGAAUUUUGCUGGAUUCCGUGUAAUUAAUUAAGAUUUUUUUUUUUUAAAAAACGUUGGUAGCUCUGCCAGUCUGUGUAUCUAGGUUGUGCCAGUUUCCAGGAUUCCCCUCCACCCCCAUCCCCGCCCCUCGCCCCGGUUCCUUGCACAGACGUGAGCAGCUGCAGACAUGGAAGACUUCUUUGUAGAGGAGGCAGCUCCAGUGAAACAGGUAGGCGGGCUGGGGUGGGCACUCAGUGCCCUGAGCGAGCUGUGACAGCUGGCAAUAUUUAAAUCCAACAGACUUAGGCUCCAGCCAGUUCACAAGCUCUUCCUGCCUGUGAAGGAGCAGGGAUGGGAGGAUCUCUUAGAGACACAUCAGGUGUGGCUGAGAGCAACCUGUAAUUCGGGAUGAAGACGCCCCAGUGUCCAUCAGGAGAAGGCUAAAAACUUUCUUGUGUGACUGGAAACCUUCGUGUUUUGCUCAAGGGGGCGGGUGUUGUUGUAAGCAGAGGUCUCUUUCCUGGGAGGAGGGAAUUCAGCAGGAACGAUGCUGAGAAGUUCUGAAGUCUUGUGAGAGCAGGCUGGAGUUUUUCUGUGCAGGCCUGAGUGUGAUGAGUGUUUCACUGAUCUGCACUCAGAUGGGUCUGUUGACACUGUUAUUGCUUUGCUGAAUUUUC
This is a long non-coding RNA of Pseudopipra pipra, 22403 nucleotides long. RefSeq lists it as uncharacterized. The record is from RefSeq and is a predicted model, not a curated record. NCBI's taxonomy places the organism in Eukaryota, Metazoa, Chordata, Aves, Passeriformes, Pipridae. The transcript is spliced from 6 exons.